RNAcentral lists this long non-coding RNA (350 nucleotides) under Bos taurus (domestic cattle). RNAcentral's name for it is "long non-coding RNA NONBTAT024966". The record is from RNAcentral. Lineage: Eukaryota; Metazoa; Chordata; Mammalia; Artiodactyla; Bovidae.
AUGUCUAAAGAAGAGUCUUUCCCUUAUAAGUAAUGCUUCAGAAUCCAAAGUGGGAAAAUGUAAGUCUGCUCAGGGAAGAUGCUAACCUAGAAAUCACAGACUGCUGGGCUGUGGGAACUUGGGGAUGCUUGUGCAAGCAACCUUGGAGGUCUGGGAGAAUAUUGGAGAUGAGGCUCUAGGGCAGGGGUGGAAAGGAAGGAAGACUGAACUUCUGCUGAUGAGCAAGUAAGAGUUCUAGGACUUAGGUCACAUGGUUAAGAUGAAUUUUAUGUAACUCUGCAGGGAAAAAAAACAAUAACUGUACCUCUUAAAAUUCCAUGUCCUUUAUACACUAUUUCCUACCCAGAUUU